This 287-nucleotide ribosomal RNA is filed under the name Syncordulia gracilis. RNAcentral's name for it is "partial 28S ribosomal RNA". Lineage: Eukaryota; Metazoa; Arthropoda; Insecta; Odonata; Corduliidae. The record is from RNAcentral.
GGGCGCCGAUUCUCUCGGCGCCGGAGUGACGCACUUCUCCCCCAGUAGAACGUCGCGACCCGUCGGGCGCCGGCCUAAGGUCCCGGGUGGAGUCUGCGCGGUUCGCACCGCGCACGACCCCGGGGAUCCCGGCCGGGUGCUCGACGGUACGAAGAGAGGAAGGAGUCGACGCGCCGCUCGUCGGCGUCCGGCCCUCCGCAAGCGCCCGCGGGAGUCCGAGAUUCCGGGCCCGGCCCGGUCUCGGUCCCUCCGCGGGGCUGUUUGCGAUCAGGAGGUGUCCUCGGAAC